This 878-nucleotide long non-coding RNA is filed under the name Coturnix japonica (Japanese quail). RNAcentral describes it as "lncRNA (ENSCJPG00005006665.1)". The record is from RNAcentral. Lineage: Eukaryota; Metazoa; Chordata; Aves; Galliformes; Phasianidae.
CCCCUGUUGUCCCAUACAGCCCCAUACAGCCCCAUACAGCCCCAUACAGCCCCAUACAGCCCUAUAUUGCCCCAUACAGCCCCAUACUGCCCCCUAUUGCCCCAUACUGCCCUAUACAGCCCCAUACAUCCCCAUACUGUCCCAUACCGACCCCUAUUGCCCCAUACAGCCCCAUACAGCCCCAUACUGACCCACACAGCCCCAUACAUCCCCAUACAUCCCCAUACAUCCCCAUACUGUCCCAUACAGCCCCAUACAGCCCUAUAUUGCCCCAUACAGCCCCAUACAGCCCCAUACCGACCCCCAUUGACCCCUAUUGCCCCCUGUCCCAGACCCCGCUGCUGGUGGCGGCUCUGGCCGCAGCCCCCGCCCUUGUCCGGGAUCUGAUCGCGGCCGGCGCCGACCCCGACGCUGCGGACAAUGAGGGGCGGACGGCGCUGCACGUGGGCGCCACCUACGGGCUGCCCGAGGUACUGCAGGACUCCAAGAGCAGCCUGACCCCGCUGCACAUCGCAGUCAGGGGGGGGAACCUCGGCCUGGCCCAGCUCCUCCUGCGCCAGCCCCGGGGGGGGGCCCGGCUGGUCAACAUGCAGGCUCACGGUCAGUCCGCCCUGCACAUGGCUGCAGCGCUGCGGGGGGGGCAGCAGGUGGCGCUGCUGAAGCUGCUGCUGCGACACGGGGCGGAUCCGGCGCUGCCCAACAUGGAGAAUCAGCGGCCCCGAGCGCUGCUGCCAGCGGGGGAACAGGGAGAGCAGGUGGGAACAGCCAAAAACACCGGAUCUGAGCCCAAAAAUCCUUCAUAUGGACCCAAAAAUAACAGAUCUGAGCCCAAAAUAACACAAAUGAGCCCAAAAACACCAGAUCUGAGCCCAAAAUAA